UCGAGAAUUUUUCACAAUGGGCGAAAGCCUGAUGGAGCGACGCCGCGUGGGGGAUGAAUGGCUUCGGCCCGUAAACCCCUGUCAUUAGCGAGCAAACGUUAUUAUUUAAAAGAUGAUAGCCUGAUAGUAGCGAAAGAGGAAGGGACGGCUAACUCUGUGCCAGCAGCCGCGGUAAUACAGAGGUCCCAAGCGUUGUUCGGAUUUACUGGGCGUAAAGGGUGCGUAGGUGGUGGGGUAAGUCGGAUGUGAAAUCUCCGGGCUCAACUCGGAAAGUGCAUUGGAAACUACCCUGCUCGAGGGUUGGAGGGGGGACUGGAAUACUUGUUGUAGCAGUGAAAUGCGUAGAUAUCAAGUGGAACACCAUUGCCGAAGGCGAGUCCCUGGACAACUCUUGACACUGGGGCACAAGAGCUAGGGGA
RNAcentral lists this ribosomal RNA (419 nucleotides) under uncultured bacterium. Its description in RNAcentral is "bacterial SSU rRNA". It matches the Rfam family "Bacterial small subunit ribosomal RNA", at positions 355 to 767 of the family's 1533-position model. The record is from RNAcentral.